Molecule: ribosomal RNA, 468 nt
Filed under: uncultured bacterium
Lineage: Bacteria
Description: partial 16S ribosomal RNA
Rfam family: Bacterial small subunit ribosomal RNA
Source: RNAcentral
GACGAACGCUGGCGGCGUGCUUAACACAUGCAAGUCGAGCGGAAAGGCCCUGCUUUUGUGGGGUGCUCGAGUGGCGAACGGGUGAGUAACACGUGAGUAACCUGCCCUUGACUUUGGGAUAACUUCAGGAAACUGGGGCUAAUACCGGAUAGGAGCUCCUGCUGCAUGGUGGGGGUUGGAAAGUUUCGGCGGUUGGGGAUGGACUCGCGGCUUAUCAGCUUGUUGGUGGGGUAGUGGCUUACCAAGGCUUUGACGGGUAGCCGGCCUGAGAGGGUGACCGGCCACAUUGGGACUGAGAUACGGCCCAGACUCCUACGGGAGGCAGAAGUGGGGAAUAUUGCACAAUGGGCGGAAGCCUGAUGCAGCAACGCCGCGUGCGGGAUGACGGCCUUCGGGUUGUAAACCGCUUUCGCCUGUGACGAAGCGUGAGUGACGGUAAUGGGUAAAGAAGCACCGGCUAACUACGUG